This 241-nucleotide small RNA is filed under the name Pongo abelii (Sumatran orangutan). Its description in RNAcentral is "processed transcript". The record is from RNAcentral. Lineage: Eukaryota; Metazoa; Chordata; Mammalia; Primates; Hominidae.
CCGACUGUCUCGAGCUCUCGGCUUCCUCCUGGUCACACUGGCCUUCCGUCUGCAACUGUGUCUGAUGGCGAGUUGACGGGCGCCGACCUGAAGGACUGCGUCAGCAACAACAGCCUGAGCAGCAAUGCCAGCCUCCCCAGCGUGCAGAGCUGCCGGCGCCUGCGUGAGAGGAGGGUCGCCAGCUGGGCCGUGUCCUUCGAGCGCCUGCUGCAGGACCCCGUCGGUGUCCGCUACUUCUCUG